GACGAACGCUGGCGGCGUGCUUAACACAUGCAAGUCGAACGGAAAGGCCCUGCUUUUGUGGGGUGCUCGAGUGGCGAACGGGUGAGUAACACGUGAGUAACCUGCCCUUGACUUUGGGAUAACUUCAGGAAACUGGGGCUAAUACCGGAUAGGAGCUCCUGCUGCAUGGUGGGGGUUGGAAAGUUUCGGCGGUUGGGGAUGGACUGGCGGCUUAUCAGCUUGUUGGUGGGGUAGUGGCUUACCAAGGCUUUGACGGGUAGCCGGCCUGAGAGGGUGACCGGCCACAUUGGGACUGAGAGACGGCCCAGACUCCUACGGGAGGCAGCAGUGGGGAAUAUGGCACAAUGGGCGGAGGCCUGAUGCAGCAACGCCGCGUGCGGGAUGACGGCCUUCGGGUUGUAAACCGCUUUCGCCUGUGACGAAGCGUGAGUGACGGUAAUGGGUAAAGAAGCACCGGCUAACUACGUG
This 468-nucleotide ribosomal RNA is filed under the name uncultured bacterium. RNAcentral describes it as "partial 16S ribosomal RNA". It matches the Rfam family "Bacterial small subunit ribosomal RNA", at positions 28 to 507 of the family's 1533-position model. The record is from RNAcentral.